Molecule: ribosomal RNA, 446 nt
Filed under: uncultured bacterium
Lineage: Bacteria
Description: partial 16S ribosomal RNA
Rfam family: Bacterial small subunit ribosomal RNA
Source: RNAcentral
CCUACGGGUGGCAGCAGUCGAGAAUUAUUCACAAUGGGGGAAACCCUGAUGGUGCGACGCCGCGUGGGGGAAUGAAGGUCUUCGGAUUGUAAACCCCUGUCAUGUGGGAGCAAAUUAAAAAGAUAGUACCACAAGAGGAAGAGACGGCUAACUCUGUGACAGCAGCCGAGGUAAUACAGAGGUCUCAAGAGGUGUUCGGAAUCACUGGGCGUAAAGCGUGCGUAGGCUGUUUCGUAGGUCGUGUGUGAAAGGCGCGGGCUCAACCCGCGGACGGCACAUGAUACUGCGAGACUAGAGUAAGGGAGGGGGAACCGGAAUUCUCGGUGUAGCAGUGAAAUGCGUAGAUAUCGAGAGGAACACUCGUGGCGAAGGCGGGUUCCUGGACAUUAACUGACGCUGAGGCACGAAGGCCAGGGGAGCGAAAGGGAUUAGAUACCCUAGUAGUC